GACGAACGCUGGCGGCGUGCUUAACACAUGCAAGUCGAACGGAAAGGCCCUGCUUUUGUGGGGUGCUCGAGUGGCGAACGGGUGAGUAACACGUGUGUAACCUGCCCUUGACUUUGGGAUAACUUCAGGAAACUGGGGCUAAUACCGGAUAGGAGAUCCUGCUGCAUGGUGGGGGUUGGAAAGAUUCGGCGGUUGGGGAUGGGCUCGCGGCUUAUCGGCUUGUUGGUGGGGUAGUGGGUUACCAAGGUUUUGAGGGGUAGCCGGCCUGAGAGGGUGAAAGGCCACAUUGGGACUGAGGUACGGCCCAGAUUCCUACGGGGGGCAGAAGGGGGGAAGAUUGCACAAGGGGCGGAGGCCUGAUGCAGCAACGCCGCGGGCGGGAUGACGGUCUUCGGGGUGAAAACCGCUUUCGCCUGUGACGAAGCGUGAGUGACGGUAAUGGGUAAAGAAGCACCGGCGAACUACGUGC
Molecule: ribosomal RNA, 469 nt
Filed under: uncultured bacterium
Lineage: Bacteria
Description: partial 16S ribosomal RNA
Rfam family: Bacterial small subunit ribosomal RNA
Source: RNAcentral